CCUACGGGAGGCAGCAGUGAGGAAUAUUGGGCAAUGGGCGCAAGCCUGAACCAGCCAAGCCGCGUGAGGGAUGACGGUCCUAUGGAUUGUAAACCUCUUUUGUCGGGGAGCAAGGCCCGCCACGUGUGGCGGGAAGGCGAGUACCCGAAGAAAAAGAAUCGUCUAACUCCGUGCCAGCAGCCGCGGUAAUACGGAGGAUGGGAGCGUUAUCCGGAUUUAUUGGGUUUAAAGGGUGCGUAGGCGGAAGGUUAAGUCAGCGGUAAAAUGUCGGGGCUCAACACGGGCCUGCCGUGGAAACUGGUAAUCUUGAGUGAGCGAGAGGUAUGCGGAAUGCGUGGUGUAGCGGUGAAAUGCAUAGAUAUCACGCAGAACUCCGGUUGCGAAGGCAGCAUACCGGCGCUCAACUGACGCUGAGGCACGAAAGCGUGGGGAUCGAACAGGAUUAGAUACCCUAGUAGUC
RNAcentral lists this ribosomal RNA (460 nucleotides) under uncultured bacterium. RNAcentral describes it as "partial 16S ribosomal RNA". It matches the Rfam family "Bacterial small subunit ribosomal RNA", at positions 338 to 795 of the family's 1533-position model. The record is from RNAcentral.